CUAACAAGGAUUCCCCUAGUAACUGCGAGUGAAGAGGGAAAAGCUCAAAUUUAAAAUCUGGCGGUCCUUGCGGCUGUCCGAAUUGUAAUUUAGAGAAGCGUCACCCGCGCUGGACCGUGUACAAGUCUCCUCGAACGGAGCAUCAUAGAGGGUGAGAAUCCCGUACAUGACACGGACUACCGGGGCUUUGUGGUGCGCUCUCGACGAGUCGAGUUGUUUGGGAAUGCAGCUCUAAAUGGGUGGUAAAUUCCAUCUAAAGCUAAAUACAGGCGAGAGACCGAUAGCGAACAAGUACCGUGAGGGAAAGAUGAAAAGAACUUUGGAAAGAGAGUUAAACAGUACGUGAAAUUGUUGAAAGGGAAACGCUUGAAGUCAGUCGCGUCCUUCAGAGAUCAACCUGGCCUUUCGCUUGGUGCACUCUUUGGAGGACGGGUCAGCAUCAAUUUUGACCGGGGGAAAAAGUUGGUGGGAAUGUGGCACUUUCGGGUGUGUUAUAGCCUGCUUGCAUAUACCUCGGUUGGGAUUGAGGAACUCAGCACGCCGCAAGGCCGGACUUUUGUCACGU
Molecule: ribosomal RNA, 565 nt
Filed under: Myriococcum praecox
Lineage: Eukaryota; Fungi; Basidiomycota; Agaricomycetes; Agaricales; Stephanosporaceae
Description: eukaryotic LSU rRNA
Rfam family: Eukaryotic large subunit ribosomal RNA
Source: RNAcentral